UCCUACUAGAAAACAGCUUUAUGAAAAGUGUCAGGGUCAUCUUUAGAAACCCAAAGAAAACAAAACAAAACCCCCCAAAAAAGCCUACCACCAAGAAGGCAAAGAGGGGGGGGGAAAAAAAAAAGAAACGCCGCGCACAACUCAAUUAUUCAGCUGCACACAACUGCGCCUGACAGGCCCUGCUAACAACACUCUCUUGAAUUUAAUUAAGUUUGUCCCCGCAGCCUGUGAACUGCUGGGCCAGACCUGCAGCAGUGGGAUGAAAAGCUUGGAGGCCGACCCCGCGAGGCCAUUGUUGAUAAGCAAGGGCACGGCGCUCUGAGGUGAGAAAACUAAGACCCAGACGUGAAGAAACUUGCCCAAGCCUUGCUAUUGGAGCCAGACUAGAAUUGAGUUCUGUUGUCUCCCCACUAAGAUCGCUCUUUCCAGCACAUCAUUGAAAGGAAGAACCAUCUGGUACUAUGGAAAUAAUGGGAGACUUGGAAGAAUGUGGACAUCUUGCCAGUGUGGACAUCUUCCACAAUGAAUCACCCUGCUUAGACCUAAACCUCUGGGAAGUUUAGGAUAAAGGGAAUCUCAUUUCCUUCACAGUUGACCAUAAAAACAAGUCUUCAUUAUUGUCAUUAUUCUUCCUACUAUUAUUAAUUUAGUAUUUGGCUAGAACUUAGAAUUAAAUCUUGACUUCUUAUCAUGGCCAUUAUGACCUCUGCCUUUCUCCUACAAUCCUCCAGCUAUGCAAAGUGGGGUCCGUGCACCAAUCCCCAUCUGUGGAAGUGAGAGUAAUAAACUGGUACAGCUCGUUA
This is a long non-coding RNA of Callorhinus ursinus (northern fur seal), 803 nucleotides long. RefSeq lists it as uncharacterized. Lineage: Eukaryota; Metazoa; Chordata; Mammalia; Carnivora; Otariidae. The record is from RefSeq and is a predicted model, not a curated record.